UUUCUUUCUGGUCUGUGUUUUCAUGUUGCCUUCUACAUGUUCAAUUUGAUUUUUUUUUUCAUGGAUCGAUGGUAUAUGGUUUUUUUCCUGUGUGUUUUGAAUCGUCCUCUCUUGCUCCUGUUAAGGUUGGGGAACCAAUAUCUCUGUGGUGUCACCAUCUUUGCAAGAAGGGGAUAGAUCGACGCGUCAAGAAAUCAUUUCUGUUGCCAUGGCUCCAGUAGGCAAUACGAUUGUUGCUUGCGUACAAUUUUUUCUUGAUGCAGACUAGUUUCUUUUCUUGUACCCUGUUUUAGAAAAAUCUCACUCUUCUCUGUUUAUAUCUGUUCUGUUCAUGCACAGUGCUAACCCCGGGCUUGUCGGACUGGAAUCCUUUGAAGAAUGAAUCCCCAAUGACUGUGCUAGAUCCACCAUGCCAUUCAGUGUUGCAGGUCAUGAUGCUUCGAGCUCGUGAUUGGUCUGUGUCAGCGUAAUGGAUACAUUCAGUUAUCAUAUUUCCUCUAAAAUAUUCGUGUUUUCGUUCAUUAGAUU
Molecule: small RNA, 528 nt
Filed under: Oryza sativa Japonica Group (Japanese rice)
Lineage: Eukaryota; Viridiplantae; Streptophyta; Magnoliopsida; Poales; Poaceae
Description: sRNA Os03g0222401
Rfam family: small nucleolar RNA snoR134 (bases 332-481)
Source: RNAcentral